UUUAAGCUCCCUUUUUCUACUAUUAAGGGAGAAGAAACCCUAGAAGAAAAAGAAGGGGAGACAAGGUGAAACAGAGGUCGGGAGAGGGAAGAAGAAGAGAGAUGACGGUAAAGGAAAGAGAAGAAGAGGAAGAAGAGACAACGGUGAAAGAAUAAGAAGAAGAUGAAUAAGAUUGGCGCGCGUGACUGAAAAACAUCAUGUGGUACGCUUUGUGUAAGGGGCGGAGGAAGAGAGAGAAGAAGUAGGAUUCGAGCGAUCAAGGAAGAGGUGGUGCGACAAAAGGCUGGAAGCAGAAAAUCACUUCGACUACGAACUUCGAUGUGAAGAGAGCUUAGGGGGAAGAGAGAUUGUCACCAAGAUUCUAUAUCAUCUAUAUAACAGCUAAGUAAGUCCAAUAUGCUCCUCACAACUUAGAUUAGAAAUUAUAUACUAAAUUCUUGGCAUAGUAUAUUAGGAAACAAGACCGAU
This 468-nucleotide long non-coding RNA is filed under the name Carica papaya (papaya). Its description in RNAcentral is "long non-coding RNA (CPAP_LNC006016)". The record is from RNAcentral. Lineage: Eukaryota; Viridiplantae; Streptophyta; Magnoliopsida; Brassicales; Caricaceae.